RNAcentral lists this non-coding RNA (774 nucleotides) under Peruphasma schultei. Lineage: Eukaryota; Metazoa; Arthropoda; Insecta; Phasmatodea; Pseudophasmatidae. The record is from RNAcentral.
UAGUCGUAAAAUGUUAGUUUGAUUCUAACUAAUUUAUUAAUUUUAAGGAUUUUAUACAUGUGAGUUUUUGCUUAUUAUUUAAUUGAUUUAAAUUUUUGCAGUAUUUAGCAUUAAAAAUUAAGUUUUUUUUGAUUUAGAUAUUCUUUAUAGAAUUGUAUUAGUUUGUGCCAGCCUACGCGGUUAUACAAUAAAUUCUAUUUAAUAUUUUUGGGUGAUAGAAGUUAAAUUAUUUUUGAAUUUAUUAUAUUUAUUUUUAGGUGAAAUUUAAAUUUUAAUUAAUUUUUAAUUUUGAUUCUUUUAAAUUCUUUUAUUAAACUAGGAUUAGAUACCCUAUUAUUUUGAAUGUUAAUUGUUGUCCGGGUAGUAAUAGUUAUGUUCUUUAAACCCAAAGAAUUUGGCGGUGUUUUAGUCUAUUUAGAGGAAUUUGCCCCGUAAUCGAUAAUCCUCGUUUUAUCUUUCUUAAUUUUGUUUAUCAGUAAGUAUACCGCCGUUAUAGGUUUAUUUUUUUAGAAUUACAAUUUACUUAAAAAACAAUUAUUUUUUAUUUCAGGUCAAGGUGCAGCUUAUAAUUAAGGGGAGGUGAAUUACAAUAUUAUUUUAAUAUAUGGAUAUUUGAUUGUAAGAUUUAAUUGAAGGUGGAUUUAAUAGUAAUUUUGAUUAUUAUGUCAAUUUGAUUUUGGCUCUAAGAUAAGUACAUAUUGCCCGUCGCUCUCAAUUUAUUUGAGAUAAGUCGUAACACAGUAGAUGUACUGGAAAGUGUGUCUUUGAAGUAUA